ACAUGCUGGUGGCAAAACAGACCCUGCAGUACCAGCAUUGAGCGAUGACGAAUGUCAUCUACAAUGUCAUCGAGGCGUUGACGCCAGCCAAAUCGAACCCUUUGUUUUUUCUUUUGUUUCUUUCUUUUCCGCGCGUGCCGAACGUAAUUCGGUUCUGCCGACCGUGCGCAGAAGCAGAGAACUUCGUUUUAUCUUUUCGUCUUCUUUGCGCCUGCGUCGACAGUAGUUUUUUUCUUUUUUCGCUUUGCAUUUGCUAUUUUCCGCGCGUGCCGAACGUAAUUCGGUUCUGCCGACCGUGCGCAGAAGCAGAGAACUUCGUUUUAUCUUUUCGUCUUCUUUGCGCCUGCGUCGACAGAAGUCUUUUGCUUUGUUCUUUGCUAAUUGCAAUCGUCAGACGGAGUUUUAAUAAGUGAUUAUUAAUCUGGAGUCUUAAUAAGUGAUUAUUAAUCUGUGAUUAUUAUUAUUAUCAGCGGCGGUGAAGAUGAAAAUACCCGACGAGCCAGCAGAAAAAGUGAUUCGGAAGGCUAUUCACAACAUUAAGAAUAGUCAUUUUCAGAAGACCUCAAG
This is a long non-coding RNA of Drosophila miranda, 567 nucleotides long. RefSeq lists it as uncharacterized. The transcript has 2 exons. The record is from RefSeq and is a predicted model, not a curated record. NCBI's taxonomy places the organism in Eukaryota, Metazoa, Arthropoda, Insecta, Diptera, Drosophilidae.